This is a non-coding RNA of Podarcis lilfordi (Lilford's wall lizard), 491 nucleotides long. The record is from the annotation of a GenBank genome assembly. NCBI's taxonomy places the organism in Eukaryota, Metazoa, Chordata, Lepidosauria, Squamata, Lacertidae.
AGGGCUCGAUCAGCUGGCAGUCGGGGGCGUCGCUGCUAGCUCUCCUGCUGCAUGGGGUUUUUUCCAGCGAUGAAGGAGCCGGUGGUGAGUCACGCUGCUGAAGCAACCUAAGAGAAUAAGCCCCCCGAGGAACCUGAGCGAUUUCUGCCCAAUAGCCUUGCUAAGCGCAGGAGGAAACUUCUCCUGUGGUGAUUUCAGCUCGAGUAAAGGCUCCAGGUUCCACAAGGCUCCGAGGAUUCCAGCGAGCGGAAGGAUCACCUAAACCAAACCGCGUCGUCUCCAGGGUGAAAAGGGGCAAGCCAGGGCUUCCCCGACCUUAAGUGGCCUUUCUAAGGCCCGCCCCUGCUGCCAGCCAAUUGGCUGGCGCCACAGGGGAUGCUAAUUGGGGGAAUCUCUGCCUCCCGCGAGGCUGGCGCCAGCCUCGGGAGAGCGAGAGUGGGCGGGGUCGUGAUCCCACAACCCCCCCUCCUCCUGACGAUCGGAAGGGGCAU